MicroRNA precursor from Cricetulus griseus (Chinese hamster), 105 nucleotides. Lineage: Eukaryota; Metazoa; Chordata; Mammalia; Rodentia; Cricetidae. The record is from Ensembl.
GAUGUGGCUUUGUUGGACGAAGUGUGUCACUGGGGGCAGGCUUUGAGGUUUCAGAAGCUCAAGCCAAGCCCAGGGUCACUCUCUCUUCCUGCUGCCUUCAGACCU